Ribosomal RNA from Verruconis gallopava, 121 nucleotides. The record is from Rfam. Lineage: Eukaryota; Fungi; Ascomycota; Dothideomycetes; Venturiales; Sympoventuriaceae.
ACAUACGAUCAUAGACUGAGGAAAAUUCGGGUCCCCGUCCGCUCACCCCUAGACAAGCCUCAGAUCGGCCCAUUAGUACUAUGGUGGGUGACCACAUGGGAAUCCGGUGCUGUUGUAUGUU